Molecule: small RNA, 71 nt
Filed under: Sinorhizobium meliloti 2011
Lineage: Bacteria; Pseudomonadati; Pseudomonadota; Alphaproteobacteria; Hyphomicrobiales; Rhizobiaceae
Description: putative ncRNA
Source: RNAcentral
GGCAAGACCAAAAGAGGUUGCUCCAAUCGAACGUGAGAUGGCGAUAGGCAGGAUCACCCUUACGCCGAAAG